Molecule: ribosomal RNA, 303 nt
Filed under: uncultured bacterium
Lineage: Bacteria
Description: partial 16S ribosomal RNA
Rfam family: Bacterial small subunit ribosomal RNA
Source: RNAcentral
AGCAGUCGCCGCGGUAAUACGUAGGUGGCAAGCGUUGUCCGGGAUUAUUGGGCGUAAAGGGCUCGCAGGCGGUUUCUUAAGUCUGAUGUGAAAGCCCCCGGCUCAACCGGGGAGGGUCAUUGGAAACUGGGAAACUUGAGUGCAGAAGAGGAGAGUGGAAUUCCACGUGUAGCGGUGAAAUGCGUAGAGAUGUGGAGGAACACCAGUGGCGAAGGCGACUCUCUGGUCUGUAACUGACGCUGAGGAGCGAAAGCGUGGGGAGCGAACAGGAUUAGAUACCCGAGUAGUCCCUGUCUCUUAUAC